CCUACGGGUGGCAGCAGUGAGGAAUAUUGGUCAAUGGGCGUGAGCCUGAACCAGCCAAGUCGCGUGAAGGAUGACUGUUCUAUGGAUUGUAAACCUCUUUUAUAAAGGAAUAAAGUGCGGCACGUGUCCCUUUUUGUAUGUACCUUAUGAAUAAGGAUCGGCUAACUCCGUGCCAGCAGCCGCGGUAAUACGGAGGAUCCGAGCGUUAUCCGGAUUUAUUGGGUUUAAAGGGUGCGUAGGCGGGUUUUUAAGUCAGCGGUGAAAGUUUGUGGCUCAACCAUAGAAUUGCCGUUGAUACUGGCAGGCUUGAGUAUGUUUGAGGCAGGCGGAAUGCGUGGUGUAGCGGUGAAAUGCUUAGAUAUCACGAAGAACCCCGAUUGCGAAGGCAGCCUGCCAAGCCAUGACUGACGCUGAUGCACGAAAGCGUGGGGAUCAAACAGGAUUAGAUACCCUUGUAGUC
RNAcentral lists this ribosomal RNA (460 nucleotides) under uncultured bacterium. RNAcentral's name for it is "partial 16S ribosomal RNA". It matches the Rfam family "Bacterial small subunit ribosomal RNA", at positions 338 to 795 of the family's 1533-position model. The record is from RNAcentral.